Small nucleolar RNA from Drosophila melanogaster (fruit fly), 152 nucleotides. The record is from Ensembl. Lineage: Eukaryota; Metazoa; Arthropoda; Insecta; Diptera; Drosophilidae.
GGCCACGCCGAUUUGCCGUCAGAGAGUGAGCUUUAUGCGUCGCUCUGAUGGCAGUGUACUCAGUGGCAGAGCAAAAAAUUGGUCACUCUUCUUUAUUUGGGCUCUCUGUUCUACCCACUCGACUCUUAGCCUUAACAAAGAAAGAGACAUUU